UUAAAUUUAAGAUAUUUCAUGUGCUUAACAAUGUUUUACAAUAUUUUCGUCUUCAUCCCUAGAGCUAACAUUUGAAAAGACUUCUCGCAAGACUAUAUUAAUCACAACAUUGAUUGCUAUGAUUUAUCAUGUACCAUGGUUCCGGACCUCGACAUUGUUCUGCCCAAGCUAAUUUCAACACAAGGUUAAAGCCAUAUCACAUCAGGGCCAGCCUAAGGGACUGCCACUACGGUAAGAGUUUUAGACUCCAAAUUUUUUAGGUUCUGUAUUAGAUCUUAUUUUUUUGGCAAUAAAUAUAUUUUUGUAUGUCAAAUUUUAUAAACAUGCACAUCCGUAACUCAAAUGAUAUUUAAAUGAAGAAUCAUAAUUUAUGUCGUAAGUUCGAUUCCAAUACUAACUAUUUUAAAUGAGGAUAGAGUCUCUCACAAUAUGAUGAAACAAAGUUUGAUUUCCAACCAAAAAAUGCUCAUAUUGAUUGGGGAAAUUCUAAAAAAAAUCUUAAUAUUUGUGUUAUUAUCUCUAAACAUACAAAAAAUGGUCUCUAUUUAAAUUUUAUUCUAUGCUUAAAAAGACAUUGGGUCGACCCUAACUCACAUGCCAACAUAAUUAUAUUGAUAUCAAUUUCAUUCACCAUGGUUCAUGAACAAAAACAUAGAAACAUAUAUAAAUCAGAAUUUUUUUAAUUCUACUAGUAUCACAAAGAAAUCAAGUCAGACAUUGAUUUGCUUAAAGAGAUGAUGCUCUGCCAUAGCAGACAGCCAGACACGCAUGCAUAAAAUUGCUACAUGACAAUAACAAACCCAUAUCAAAAGUACUCCUCCACAAAUGAAUAAUAUAGUGGCUCAUAAACUAACCUAGGAGAAGAAAGAACAAAGUUAAGAGUACGAAUGGUCAUUCAUAUGUCUUUCAAUCUAUUAUUCACAAGACUCAACUUGGCAUUGCAUUAUCUAAAUCGAUUUGACUAAUCAGUUUUCUAAAGCAAAUUGACUAAUUCCACCUAUCACAUCAAGCACUAUUUUGAUUUCUUCUUUAAGAUGUAUAUUAAGAUUUUAAUUUCAAUUUAGUGGAGCUUGUUGGCCACUGUUGACUAUGAUACCAAUACUUGAAUUAAGGAAACAGUGACGGAUUAUGCAGUCCAAAUCAGGCAACUAUACUAAUCCAUAUGUGAUUUUUUUAUUUUUAUUUUUUUUAUCUUUUUUUUCCUACCUUCACCAAAAGAAAAAACUAAUCAUUGUGUAAUGACAAUUGACAAAUCCGCCCCUUUAUUUAGUGAGUUAAGUAAAAUAUUAAAAUUGAUGGCAUUUUUUUUAAAUCUCGAUAUCUGAUCUAAGAUUGACUAAUUCGUAUGGAUCAAUCCAACCAUCACUUGCGAUGGCCCAUUUAAAUGCUUAUGUAGAACUUGUCCAUCAAAAUUGACAUCGAAAAAAAUCGAAUCUGAGAUCUUGAGACGAGGAUACUUUAAAAUCUCAGGUCAAUCAGUAAACCCAUAAGAAUUAAAAUUGAGGGCAUUUUAAAUAGGAAAGUAGUCAAAAUAGUUUAUUCAGCGCACAUAUCCUCGCACAAAGUCGUUGGUGAGUUAAGUAAUGAAAUUAAUUGAUAAUAGUCCGAAACUAAAAAAAUAAAAGAAAAAAAAUGUGAAUUUAGAUGCUUCUUAAAAGCUGAAAUUACAAUAUCUUGAAGAGAAAAAAAAAGGAUUAGCAGAUAUUAUUAGGGGAAAAUGUUGGGAUUGGGUGCUUCAUGAAUUUAGUAUCGGUAUUAUGCGAGAUUAGUCACUUUAGUCCUUGAAUAAGAAAGAAGUCCUCAUUUUAGUCCAUAAAUGCAGAUAAAUUGAAAAAUAAUCUUUGAAUGUAGAUUAUAUGAUAGUCAAUUUAGUAUCUGAAUGCAAACUCGUUAGUCAAUUUAGUCCAUAAAUGUAGACUCUGUUAGUCAAUUGAAACUGACUAACAAAGUCUACAUUCAAGGAUUGUUUUGCAAUUUCUCUGCAUUCAGGGAAUAAAGUGACUACUUUUUUCCUAUCCAGAGACUAAAGUGACUAAUUCCCUAUUUUUCAUUUAAUAUGAUAUAUCUAGUUGUAUCCGACUUUUAUAUGAGUAGAAAUUAAACUUAGUUUUUUUCAAGAAAUUAAACAUAGUCGGGGUUUUUCAAGAAAUUAAACAUAGUCGGGGUGAUUUAAGAAAUUAAACAUAGUUGCUAUUCGGGAAAACAAAAUUAAACGUUUAUCAACCACUUAACUAAGAUAUUAAAGGGUAUAUAAAAGGAUUAAUAGAUCUUUAUCCCGGUAAUAUAUGUCAUUUUCAAUUUUCCUCCCUAUAAUUUUUUUUUUAUUUACCCCCUGAAAAAAAAAAUUGUUUUGAUUUACCUCCCUAAUAGGCCAAACAAAAACCAAAUAUAUUUUUUUUUUCAAGAAAUUUUCGUUUUUGUUUGGCCUAUUAGGGGGGUAAAUCAAAACAAUUUUUUUUACAAGGGGUAAAUAAAAAAAAAAUUAUAGGGAGGAAAACCUAAAAUGAUCUAUAUUAGAGGGGAUAAAGACCUAUUAAUCAUAUAUAAAACAACCACAAAAAAACGUUUGAGCACAAGAAGUGCAAAGAGUCUAUCCAAGAUCAAGGUUUAGAGUUUAGAUACACCGUACAAAGCUUCAAAAUAGGCGAAUAAAACAAGCAGCAAAAAAGAAAGGACAAACUAAAAAUAUUGAAGUUUCACCCUUUCACAUAACGCCCGACACCUUUCUUCUUUCCUUUGAAACACUCUAAUGUUACACUCUUUUCAAAUUACCCAAACAACAACAUAUAGCCAAAUAAUGUUCAUUGAUUAUGUAUCUGCUUUCGAGAAACCCCGUUAGCCGUCAAACUAAAGUAAGUGAUUAAAAAAAGAGUCAUGAAAGACCGUAGAAAAACCCAACCAAUCUGAAACUAGCUGCCACGCAUCGAAGACACCGCAAUUUAGAAAUAAUUGGUCUGUGUCUUCAUUAGAACCACAAUUAACACAAAAAAUAGGCCCAAAAAAUAUGAUUUUACAUUAGCUUUAUUUUUAUUUUUUAUCAUAUUUCUAAAUUAUCGUACUAAUUUUUCUUUAUCAUAUUUCUAAAUUGUCCUACCAUUAUUGUUUUGAAAUUCAAUCUAGGAGCAAAGAACCACGGCAGAUUAUGUACGAAGUACAAACCGAAAAAAUUAGGCAAAGAACCACGGCAGAUUAUGUACAUAGUACAACCUGAAAAAAUUAGACUAAAGUUAAAUAUGUACCAUCUUAUCAUUGUUGCUUAUGAUUUGAGCAAAUGCAAAUCAAAGAUAUUGUAAAUCCUAAUUUCCGAUGCCCGAGUAGUUUAGUACUUAUGUACCAUCGAAUUAUGUUUACACACGAAAAAAGAUUAAGCAAAAAUUUAGAUGAAGAAUUUAAUUAAUAUACACUUUUUUUUUUCUUCUUUUUUUGUCAAGUAGUCUAGUGGUUAGAACUCACACAAUUUAAUUGCGGAGAAGUGGGGUGUCCGGGGAUCAAAUCUGCAUAUAAUAUGCAAUAUCCCUAUCAACUGAGCUAAGCUCAUGGGAAUAAUAUACACCUUAUUCUACAUAUGACUUAUUAUAUUUAUUAAGUGACGUGAUAACAUAUGAAUCGGUAAAAUAAUUGUACACAGUAUACUAAUAAAAUUCAUUUACCUAUUGUCACGUAUAGUAAAGCUUGACAAUUAUUUUAUGGAUUUACCUAUUAAUUAAGUAUGAUUUUCUUGAUGCUAAGGAUGCUAGCACUUAAUUUUUCUUAUGUUAUUCCAACAUGUAUGGAUGCAAUGAUUUCAUCAUUGGAAAGAAUUUGAUGAACUUAUGGAUGCAACGAUUUUAUGAAAAUGGAAGAUAUUACGGCGGUGAAAUUCGAGGUGGAGGUGACGGCCGAUGAUGGUAAGUGUAACUGUAAUAUGUAAACACAUCGACAC
RNAcentral lists this long non-coding RNA (3922 nucleotides) under Medicago truncatula (barrel medic). RNAcentral describes it as "long non-coding RNA (MTRU_LNC007694)". Lineage: Eukaryota; Viridiplantae; Streptophyta; Magnoliopsida; Fabales; Fabaceae. The record is from RNAcentral.